UGGUCAGAUUAAUCGAGCCACACUUGAGCCUAGGCAUUCAUUUGUUGAAUGCACUUGGUAUAGUCAUGUUAAUGGUUGGACCUAACUAGGAUUUUCAGUGGAGGUGCCACACGCCUGCUGAAGAGAUGCCAAGGGCAAAAUAUAAUUGCUAGAAAUUAUUUUGAUGAAAUAAUUGGUUAAGAACAUACCCAUGGAUGCACUAGGAUUGUUCGAGUUAUACUCGGAUCCGAAUAUAGUUUGUAUAGAUUCUAGUACCUACUAAGGGAUAAAUGUAAUUCUUCGAAUUGGAGCUAGAGACUACCAAUUCAUAUAAAAUAGUGGGAGGAC
RNAcentral lists this long non-coding RNA (327 nucleotides) under Elaeis guineensis (African oil palm). RNAcentral describes it as "long non-coding RNA (EGUI_LNC037818)". Lineage: Eukaryota; Viridiplantae; Streptophyta; Magnoliopsida; Arecales; Arecaceae. The record is from RNAcentral.